ACGAGAACUGCUUGGAAAAUAAGACACGCCGUAUCAAGGCGCGCGAUCGUUGUGGUGCUACUUUCAAUAUGGCUGACGACAAAGAAUUCAUCAUCAUGGGAAAAGACUCCGGGUAUAUUGAAGAAGAUGAAUGCAAGGAGAAACAGUACUUUUAUUUGAUCGACAGCAGUUCCCUGGUUUUCCCUGCAACACAUCAAAGCAGCAAGAGACGGAGGCUCGUGACUUGGUUCAUCAACGAGUUCUCCGACAAACCGGCGUGCUCCUUUUCAUGAGCCUUCUCCUGUGCAAUAUGCACAGCACCUUGAUCAUGCAGCUUUAUAAAUUUGAGUGCUGUAGAGAAA
Molecule: long non-coding RNA, 341 nt
Organism: Rhipicephalus microplus (southern cattle tick)
Lineage: Eukaryota; Metazoa; Arthropoda; Arachnida; Ixodida; Ixodidae
Source: RefSeq, a predicted model, not a curated record